GCUGUUAAGAUGCAGUAUACCCGCGGCUAGACGGAAAGACCCCGUGAACCUUUACUAUAGCUUUACACUGGAUUUUGAGCAUGUUUGUGUAGGAUAGGUGGGAAGUUAUGAAACAGAAACGCUAGUUUUUGUGGAACUGUCCUUGAAAUACCACCCUGGCAUGUUUGAGUUCCUAACUUGUAUCCGUAAUUCGGAUAAAGAACAGUGUAUGGUGGGUAGUUUAACUGGGGCGGUUUCCUCCAAAAGAGUAACGGAGGAGUACGAAGGUACCCUCAGCACGGUCAGAAAUCGUGCUAUGAGUGCAAAGGCAUAAGGGUGCUUAACUGUGAGACAGACAAGUCAAACAGAUACGAAAGUAGGUCUUAGUGAUCCGGUGGUUCUAUAUGGAAGGGCCAUCGCUCAACGGAUAAAAGGUACUCCGGGGAUAACAGGCUGAUUCCCCCCAAGAGUUCACAUCGACGGGGGAGUUUGGCACCUCGAUGUCGGCUCAUCACAUCCUGGGGCUGUAGUCGGUCCCAAGGGUAUGGCUGUUCGCCAUUUAAAGUGGUACGCGAGCUGGGUUUAGAACGUCGUGAGACAGUUCGGUCCCUAUCUGCCGUGGGCGUUGGAAAUUUGAGAAGAGCUGCUUCUAGUACGAGAGGAGCGAAGUGGACGUACCUCUGGUGUUCCAGUUAUCAUGCCAAUGGUAUUGCUGGGUAGCUAUGUACGGACGGGAUAACCGCUGAAAGCAUCUAAGCGGGAAGCCUCCUUCAAGAUGAGAUUUCCCGACUUGUUAAGAGUCUUAAAGGUCUGUUGAAGACAACAACGUUGAUAGGCGGGAUGUGGAAGUAUAGCAAUAUAUGGAGCUAACCCGUACUAAUUGAUCGUAAGGCUUAACCCU
Non-coding RNA from Beggiatoa sp. PS, 880 nucleotides. The record is from Rfam. NCBI's taxonomy places the organism in Bacteria, Pseudomonadati, Pseudomonadota, Gammaproteobacteria, Thiotrichales, Thiotrichaceae.